RNAcentral lists this ribosomal RNA (253 nucleotides) under uncultured bacterium. RNAcentral's name for it is "partial 16S ribosomal RNA". It matches the Rfam family "Bacterial small subunit ribosomal RNA", at positions 524 to 776 of the family's 1533-position model. The record is from RNAcentral.
UACAGGGGGGGCAAGCGUUGUUCGGAAUUACUGGGCGUAAAGGGCCAGUAGGCGGCCAACUAAGUCACACGUGAAAUCCCCAGGCUUAACCUGGGAACUGCGUGUGAUACUGGAUGGCUUGAAUUCGGGAGAGGGAUGCAGAAUUCCAGGUGUAGCGGUGAAAUGCGUAGAUAUCUGGAGGAAUACCGGUGGCGAAGGCGGCAUCCUGGACCGUAACUGACGCUGAGGCGCGAAAGCGUGGGGAGCAAACAGG